CGGUGACAACCGGCGUCCUCAGAGACGAUGGAGGCACGGCGGCGGCGCUCCUCCUCUGACGCGGCUUGACGGCGAUCCCGUGGCAGCUGACCGCAACGGAUCCGGCAGCACAGGCAGAGAUUGGACGGAGCGGCAAAGGCACAAAUCCUCCUC
Non-coding RNA from Arachis ipaensis, 153 nucleotides. The record is from RefSeq and is a predicted model, not a curated record. Lineage: Eukaryota; Viridiplantae; Streptophyta; Magnoliopsida; Fabales; Fabaceae.